AGAAAAGGGGGAGUGGGCGCCUCCCAGCCCCGCGGACACACCUCGACUGCCCUGGUUGCCACAGUAACCGGGGAAGUUUCGAAGUGCGCAGGCGCAAAGUGGCACAGGGCUCUACUCCUGAUCCUUCACCCCUCUAAUCCACCAGCAGAGAACCCUGGCUCCUAGGAGAGACUGCCACUCAUCCCCCUCCACCCCCGCGCAACUUCAAGGACAAAGUCUGGAGAGGGAUCAUGGGGCGUCCCAGCUUCCACGCACUUCAAGCCUAGGGAGCAAACGUGGCCAGAGGGCCCAAAGAGUCUGAAACCUGAAAAGGGAUCCCCCUGUCCCCAGCCCGUCCACCUCCCCAACAGAGCCUGAGGGGGGCGCUGGCAGCAGGAAGCCCGGAAUAGCCCCGGAGGCGCACAGGCCCCACAGUGGAGCGAUCCUGCCAGCAUAUAUCAGCUCACCAGGACUUGACUGGAACACAUCCUUCCCCCCACAACGUGGUGUCCAGCCCCUGCCCCACCCCACCACUCACUCCUCUCUGGAGGCAGCAGGCUCUGCAGUGUUCCUGCUCCUACCUCAUUACCCCAGCCCUGAUCCUGUAUCUCUCCAGUCUCUCCUCCCCCUGGCUCUGUGCUCCUUAAGCCUGGAAGGCACCGGAGGGUGAGGUCAAAGCUAAUACGCAGUGGACACUGCUGGGGGUGGGAGUGCUCCCCACUCAGGCCUCUCUUCCUCACCCCCCUACCUCUUUUCUCCUCCUCCCUGGGAUGGGAGGGAGCAAGGGGGCGGGGAACCCAGCCCCCACAGCUCCCUCCUGGGUGAACAAGAGGAAAGGAAUGAGGCAGGUGUGUCGGGCUGCUCCCGCUUACCCCUCCUCUCCGGGGGACUCUAACCCGCCUGCCUGUGGGGCUGUCUUUUGGGGGUUGGGGAGAGAAACUCUGUCCUCCCCAGAAGCAGCGGAGCUGAGCAUGUGUAAGGCCUGGCUGUCGUGGGCAUGUCCAGGAGCUGCCGGGAUGCAGGCAGUUGGAGGAGAGAAGCUGAAGGCAAGCUAGUUGGGGCAAAACUCUCAACAGGGAUACACCACCAUAAGAGCGUCCUUUCCUUCUCACCCCUACCCUGAGGUAGGGAGACAUGGGCUAAAGAAAUAUGGGGAUUCGUGUAGGCUGGCAAUCGGGAAAAGGAACAAGACUUCAUCCUUGUCUGGUUCAUCCAGAAGGGUGCCAUUCUGGGUAAAAUGAGGCAGGAAGCAGGAUCCUCAACUUGGAGCAGCAGGAGGUCUGGAUGAAGUAGGUGAAGUGCUCUUUCUCUGAGAUCCCGACCACUCUACCUCCGUCUCUACCACCCUCCUCCUUGAGGGUUUGGGACAAAGGAGGCCAAGGAAGGAUGUCUCUUCGCCUCUGGCCUUACUUACAUACCCCAUCUCCCCUGCAUGCACUCAGAGAGACCAGCAUCCAGACAGUGAGUCUCCUGGCCCUCCCCCACCACCCUCCUCCCUGCCGCACCUUCUAGCCCCACCUGCUCCCUGGGGCGCUGGGCUGGCUGGGUUGAGCUGGGUCUUGCCCAGGAUUACUCCUCGCAGAGUGCCUGUCUCUGCCGAAGGGUGCUGCUGGGCACCGCCACUCGUCCUGGCUUGUGGCAGAGGGCUCAGGCACAAGGUGGACAACUAGAGCUCUGGAAUUAAGAGCUCCGGAUCCAGCUUCUUGUCAACAUCCCCCUGGCCUCCAUUCAGGCAGGUCCCAUCUGGUUUGGAAGAUGGCUGUAGUUUCCUAACUGGCCCCCUGUUGUUAACUCCUCCCCUCUUCAUUCAGUUCCCCAGCACAGUGAGCCAUGUGGGAAUCAGACCAUGACACUCACCUGUUCAAGACCCUCUGAAAGUUUCUCAUUCCUCUGAAAAUCCCAACUCCUUAUGAUGGCCCAGAGGGACAUGUGAUGUGACUCUUGCCUGCCCUCCCAACUCCUCUCCUGCUAACCUGCCCUUGAUUGCUUCAUCCGAUCACACUGGCCUCUUGGCUGUUCCUCCUGAGGAGAUCUCUCUCACCACCGACCUUUGGCAUUCACAUGGCCUCGGCCUGGAAAGCCCUUUCCCUCAAUCUGUGCGGGGCUAUCUUCGGCACACAGGUCUCAGCAUGAGUAACAUAACUCAGAGAGGCCUUCUCAGACCAAUGACUUUAUCUAAAGAGGCCACACUCCUACCUAUGUGUCUUAUUCAUCAAUACCUUGUACCUUAUUCAUCAAUAAAUGAAUCAAUGAAAAA
Long non-coding RNA from Panthera uncia (snow leopard), 2236 nucleotides. RefSeq lists it as uncharacterized. The transcript is spliced from 2 exons. Lineage: Eukaryota; Metazoa; Chordata; Mammalia; Carnivora; Felidae. The record is from RefSeq and is a predicted model, not a curated record.